AGAGUUUGAUCAUGGCUCAGAUUGAACGCUGGCGGCAGGCCUAACACAUGCAAGUCGAGCGGAUGAGUGGAGCUUGCUCCAUGAUUCAGCGGCGGACGGGUGAGUAAUGCCUAGGAAUCUGCCUGGUAGUGGGGGACAACGUUUCGAAAGGAACGCUAAUACCGCAUACGUCCUACGGGAGAAAGUGGGGGAUCUUCGGACCUCACGCUAUCAGAUGAGCCUAGGUCGGAUUAGCUAGUUGGUGAGGUAAAGGCUCACCAAGGCGACGAUCCGUAACUGGUCUGAGAGGAUGAUCAGUCACACUGGAACUGAGACACGGUCUAGACUCCUACGGGAGGCAGCAGUGGGGAAUAUUGGACAAUGGGCGAAAGCCUGAUCCAGCCAUGCCGCGUGUGUGAAGAAGGUCUUCGGAUUGUAAAGCACUUUAAGUUGGGAGGAAGGGCAGUAAGUUAAUACCUUGCUGUUUUGACGUUACCAACAGAAUAAGCACCGGCUAACUUCGUGCCAGCAGCCGCGGUAAUACGAAGGGUGCAAGCGUUAAUCGGAAUUACUGGGCGUAAAGCGCGCGUAGGUGGUUCGUUAAGUUGGAUGUGAAAGCCCCGGGCUCAACCUGGGAACUGCAUCCAAAACUGGCGAGCUAGAGUAUGGCAGAGGGUGGUGGAAUUUCCUGUGUAGCGGUGAAAUGCGUAGAUAUAGGAAGGAACACCAGUGGCGAAGGCGGGUCUCCGGGCAGUAACUGACGCUGAGGAGCGAAAGCGUGGGGAGCGAACAGGAUUAGAUACCCUGGUAGUCCAA
This 795-nucleotide ribosomal RNA is filed under the name uncultured bacterium. RNAcentral's name for it is "bacterial SSU rRNA". It matches the Rfam family "Bacterial small subunit ribosomal RNA", at positions 8 to 798 of the family's 1533-position model. The record is from RNAcentral.